This 1360-nucleotide ribosomal RNA is filed under the name Brachybacterium faecium. Its description in RNAcentral is "bacterial LSU rRNA". It matches the Rfam family "Bacterial large subunit ribosomal RNA", at positions 1284 to 2925 of the family's 2925-position model. Lineage: Bacteria; Bacillati; Actinomycetota; Actinomycetes; Micrococcales; Dermabacteraceae. The record is from RNAcentral.
AGAAAAGAAAAUGUAGGCAUAAGUAACGAUAAAGGGGGCGAGAAACCCCCUCACCGAAAGACUAAGGUUUCCUCAGCCAUGCUAAUCAGCUGAGGGUUAGUCGGGACCUAACGCGAACCCGAAAGGGGUAGUGGAUGGACAAUGGGUUAAUAUUCCCAUACUUGCUCACACUAAAAAGGGGACGGAGUGACGUAGCUGCUGGAGACUGACGGAAUAGUCAAGGCCUAGCCUUCGGGCGAAGCUGCUGUAGUGAACUCGCUUCCAAGAAAAGCCGAAGUGAAGCAACCCGUACCAAAACCGACACAGGUAGUCGAGGAGAGAAUCCUAAGGUGCUCGAGUGAGUCGUGGCUAAGGAACUAGGCAAAAUAGUCUCGUAACUUCGGAAGAAGAGACGCCAGCAGCAAUGCUGGCCGCAGUGAAGAGGCCCAGGCGACUGUUUAUCAAAAACACAGGACUCUGCUAAAUCGAAAGAUGCUGUAUAGGGUCUGACACCUGCCCGGUGCUGGAAGGUUAAGGAAGGGCGUUAGCGUAAGCGAAGCGUUUGACUGAAGCCCCAGUAAACGGCGGCCGUAACUAUAACGGUCCUAAGGUAGCGAAAUUCCUUGUCGGGUAAGUUCCGACCUGCACGAAUGGGACGAAAAGACCCUGUGAACCUUUACUAUAACUUCGUAUUGACUUUGAGUAAGUAAUGUGUAGGAUAGGUGGGAGACUUUGAAGCGGGCACGCUAGUGUUCGUGGAGUCAACGUUGAAAUACCACCCUUUACUUACUUGGAGCCUAACUUCUUUCAGAAGGACAUUGCGUGGUGGGUAGUUUGACUGGGGUGGUCGCCUCCAAAAGAGUAACGGAGGCUUUCAAAGGUACCCUCAGCACGCUUGGUAACCGUGCGUAGAGUGUAAUGGCAUAAGGGUGCUUGACUGUGAGACCUACAAGUCGAUCAGGUGCGAAAGCAGGACAUAGUGAUCCGGUGGUUCCGUAUGGAAGGGCCAUCGCUCAUAGGAUAAAAGGUACUCCGGGGAUAACAGGCUAGUCUCCCCCAAGAGCUCACAUCGACGGGGAGGUUCGGCACCUCGAUGUCGGCUCGUCACAUCCUGGGGCUGGAGAAGGUCCCAAGGGUUGGGCUGUUCGCCCAUUAAAGUGGCACGCGAGCUGGGUUCAGAACGCAGGUGCACCGCUGAGUAGCUACGUUUGGAAGAGAUAAGCACUGAAAGCAUAUAAGUGCGAAACUCGCCUCAAGAUGAGACAUCUUUUAAGGGUCGUUGGAGAUGACCGUCGAUAGGCUACAGGUGUAAAGUUGGUAACAGCAUAGCCGAGUAGUACUAAUUACCCGUAGAUUUAUAGCCUAUUUAAUUAAUUGUUGA